GAUGAACGCUAGCGGCAGGCCUAAUACAUGCAAGCCGAACGGCAAGCUUUGUAGCAAUACGGAGCCUAGAGUGGCGUAAGGGUGCGUAACACGUAUGCAAUCUACCCUCAACAGGAGAAUAGCUCCCCGAAAGGGGAAUUAAUGUUCCAUAGGAUCAUGGUGCGGCAUCGCACAGUGAUUAAACCGCAAGGGGUUGAGGAUGAGCAUGCGCAUGAUUAGUUAGUUGGCGGGGUAACGGCCCACCAAGACGAUGAUCAUUAGGGGAACUGAGAGG
RNAcentral lists this ribosomal RNA (274 nucleotides) under uncultured bacterium. RNAcentral's name for it is "partial 16S ribosomal RNA". It matches the Rfam family "Bacterial small subunit ribosomal RNA", at positions 28 to 299 of the family's 1533-position model. The record is from RNAcentral.